Molecule: ribosomal RNA, 497 nt
Filed under: uncultured bacterium
Lineage: Bacteria
Description: partial 16S ribosomal RNA
Rfam family: Bacterial small subunit ribosomal RNA
Source: RNAcentral
GAUGAACGCUGGCGGCGUGCCUAAUACAUGCAAGUCGAGCGAACAGACGAGGAGCUUGCUCCUCUGACGUUAGCGGCGGACGGGUGAGUAACACGUGGAUAACCUACCUAUAAGACUGGGAUAACUUCGGGAAACCGGAGCUAAUACCGGAUAAUAUAUUGAACCGCAUGGGUCAAUAGUGAAAGACGGUUUUGCUGUCACUUAUAGAUGGAUCCGCGCCGCAUUAGAUAGUUGGUAAGUUAACGGCCUACCAAGGCAACGAUGCGUAGCCGACGUGGAAGGGUGGUAGCCCACCCGGGAACUGAGACACGGUCCUGACUCCUACGGGAGGCAGCAGUAGGGAAUCUUCCGCAAUGGGCGAAAGCCUGACGGAGCAACGCCGAGUGAGUGAUGAAGGUCUUCGGAUCGUAAAACUCUGUUAUUAGGGAAGAACAAAUGUGUAAGUAACUAUGCCCGUCUUGACGGUACCUAAUCAGAAAGCCACGGCUAACUACGUG